Molecule: ribosomal RNA, 214 nt
Filed under: Vibrio parahaemolyticus
Lineage: Bacteria; Pseudomonadati; Pseudomonadota; Gammaproteobacteria; Vibrionales; Vibrionaceae
Description: partial 16S ribosomal RNA
Rfam family: Bacterial small subunit ribosomal RNA
Source: RNAcentral
AAGCGGUGGAGCAUGUGGUUUAAUUCGAUGCAACGCGAAGAACCUUACCUACUCUUGACAUCCAGAGAACUUUCCAGAGAUGGAUUGGUGCCUUCGGGAACUCUGAGACAGGUGCUGCAUGGCUGUCGUCAGCUCGUGUUGUGAAAUGUUGGGUUAAGUCCCGCAACGAGCGCAACCCUUAUCCUUGUUUGCCAGCGAGUAAUGUCGGGAACUC